Molecule: ribosomal RNA, 679 nt
Filed under: uncultured microorganism
Description: bacterial SSU rRNA
Rfam family: Bacterial small subunit ribosomal RNA
Source: RNAcentral
CGAACGCGAAAGUUCCCUUCGGGGGGCGGGUGGAGUGGCGUCCGGGUGAGUAACACGUAGGUAAUCUACCUUUGGGUGGGGAAUAACAACCGGAAACGGUUGCUAAUACCGCAUAAUGCAGCGGCACCGCAUGGUGACAGUUGUUAAAGCGGGGGAUCGCAAGACCUCGCGCCUAAAGAGGAGCCUGUGGCGGAUUAGCUAGUUGGCAGGGUAACGGCCUACCAAGGCAACGAUCCGUAGCCGGCCUGAGAGGGCGGUCGGCCACACUGACACUGAAAUACGGGUCAGACUCCUACGGGAGGCAGCAGUCGGGAAUUUUGGGCAAUGGGCGCAAGCCUGACCCAGCAACGCCGCGUGAAGGAUGAAAUCCCUCGGGAUGUAAACUUCGCAAGAACAGGAAGAAUAAGUCCGUGUUAAUAGCACGGGUGAUGACGGUACUGUUUGUAAGCUCCGGCUAACUCCGUGCCAGCAGCCGCGGUAAUACGGGGGGAGCAAGCGUUGUUCGGAUUUACUGGGCGUAAAGGGCGCGUAGGCGGCCAGUGCAAGUCAGUUGUGAAAUCUCCGGGCUUAACUCGGAAAGGUCAACUGAUACUGCUCGGCUAGAGUGCGGAAGGGGCAACUGGAAUUCUUGGUGUAGCGGUGAAAUGCUUAAAUAUCAAGAGGAACACCUGCGGCGAAA